Molecule: long non-coding RNA, 745 nt
Filed under: Homo sapiens (human)
Lineage: Eukaryota; Metazoa; Chordata; Mammalia; Primates; Hominidae
Description: HSALNT0325140
Source: RNAcentral
GGAACCAUACUCCCAUCUGUCAUGGCAGCUGCAGCAAGCCUCACCCAAGGAGAGUCUGGCUGGAGGCCAAACAACACAAAACCAGCACACUUAACAAAAAUAUAACCAAUGACCCUUGCAGAGUCCACUUAACUCCCCUCCACCAGAGCAGGUGCUGGUAUCCACAGCUGAGAGACCUGAAGAUGGAUCACAUCACAGGACUCCUUGCAGACAUUCUCCAGUACCAGCCCAGAGCCUGACCUGUCCACGCUGAGUUUAUAGCAACUGUCAAUUACGGUUCAGAUUUUCCUACCCCAGCGUGACUUUCCAAAGAGGCUUCUGCUCAUGGAUUUCUGCUCCAGGAAGAUGCAACAGGAAGGUCCUCACAAGAUGGCUGAACAGAUGCAGGUGCUGUGCCUCUGGACUGCCUAGCCUCCAGAACUGAUACAUAUGCAGGAUGUGCAGCUUUGUUACACAGAUACUUUUGGCUCGGUGAAUGGUGCUUAUCAGUUAACAGCAGAAACCCUCCUGAAAUGGAAAAUGGUUCAUUGUUUCCAUCAUGUACUCUAUGGAAUACAAAGCUCUGAAACCUGUUGGCUACUGGAAGUGUACAAGAAAAAGACUCUCAAGCUAGAGGUGGGGUAGAGCUGGAGCCAGCCAUGUCAAGAUCUUUCGAGGACAUGAACAUUUUUUAUGCUUAUUAAAAGAUGAUGUGGUUUUAAAAUAAAUCUAAGGCUGGGCGCAGUGGCUCAUGCCUGGAAUCCCA